Molecule: ribosomal RNA, 728 nt
Filed under: uncultured Curtobacterium sp.
Lineage: Bacteria; Bacillati; Actinomycetota; Actinomycetes; Micrococcales; Microbacteriaceae
Description: bacterial SSU rRNA
Rfam family: Bacterial small subunit ribosomal RNA
Source: RNAcentral
GGAUUAGAUACCCUGGUAGUCCACGCCGUAAACGUUGGGCGCUAGAUGUAGGGACCUUUCCACGGUUUCUGUGUCGUAGCUAACGCAUUAAGCGCCCCGCCUGGGGAGUACGGCCGCAAGGCUAAAACUCAAAGGAAUUGACGGGGGCCCGCACAAGCGGCGGAGCAUGCGGAUUAAUUCGAUGCAACGCGAAGAACCUUACCAAGGCUUGACAUACACCGGAAACGGCCAGAGAUGGUCGCCCCCUUGUGGUCGGUGUACAGGUGGUGCAUGGUUGUCGUCAGCUCGUGUCGUGAGAUGUUGGGUUAAGUCCCGCAACGAGCGCAACCCUCGUUCUAUGUUGCCAGCGCGUUAUGGCGGGAACUCAUGGGAUACUGCCGGGGUCAACUCGGAGGAAGGUGGGGGUGACGUCAAAUCAUCAUGCCCCUUAUGUCUUGGGCUUCACGCAUGCUACAAUGGCCGGUACGAAGGGCUGCGAUACCGUAAGGUGGAGCGAAUCCCAAAAAGCCGGUCUCAGUUCGGAUUGAGGUCUGCAACUCGACCUCAUGAAGUCGGAGUCGCUAGUAAUCGCAGAUCAGCAACGCUGCGGUGAAUACGUUCCCGGGCCUUGUACACACCGCCCGUCAAGUCAUGAAAGUCGGUAACACCCGAAGCCGGUGGCCUAACCCUUGUGGAGGGAGCCGUCGAAGGUGGGAUCGGUAAUUAGGACUAAGUCGUAACAAGGUAGC